UACAGAGGGGGCAAGCGUUGUUCGGAAUUACUGGGCGUAAAGGGCGCGUAGGCGGCCCGCUAAGUCGAACGUGAAAUCCCCGGGCUCAACCCGGGAACUGCGUCCGAUACUGGCAGGCUUGAAUCCGGGAGAGGGAUGUGGAAUUCCAGGUGUAGCGGUGAUAUGCGUAGAUAUCUGGAGGAACACCGGUGGCGAAGGCGGCAUACUGGACCGGUAUUGACGCUGAGGCGCGAAAGCCAGGGGAGCAAACGGG
This 253-nucleotide ribosomal RNA is filed under the name uncultured bacterium. RNAcentral describes it as "partial 16S ribosomal RNA". It matches the Rfam family "Bacterial small subunit ribosomal RNA", at positions 524 to 776 of the family's 1533-position model. The record is from RNAcentral.